Molecule: long non-coding RNA, 96 nt
Organism: Ipomoea nil (Japanese morning glory)
Lineage: Eukaryota; Viridiplantae; Streptophyta; Magnoliopsida; Solanales; Convolvulaceae
Exons: 3
Source: RefSeq, a predicted model, not a curated record
UAAUAUUUUUGAGAAAAAAUCUAAUACAUUUACAUUUUGAUUUAAAAGUAUUAUAUUUACCCAUAUAUGUAACAAACACUUGCCAACAUUACUUAU